GGUAAUGCCGGAUGCUCCAUCACACCGCAUGGUGUGUUGGGAAAGCCUUUGCGGCAUGGGAUGGGGUCGCGUCCUAUCAGCUUGAUGGCGGGGUAACGGCCCACCAUGGCUUCGACGGGUAGCCGGCCUGAGAGGGCGACCGGCCACAUUGGGACUGAGAUACGGCCCAGACUCCUACGGGAGGCAGCAGUGGGGAAUAUUGCACAAUGGGCGCAAGCCUGAUGCAGCGACGCCGCGUGAGGGAUGGAGGCCUUCGGGUUGUAAACCUCUUUUGUUAGGGAGCAAGGCAUUUUGUGUUGAGUGUACCUUUCGAAUAAGCACCGGCUAACUACGUGCCAGCAGCCGCGGUAAUACGUAGGGUGCAAGCGUUAUCCGGAAUUAUUGGGCGUAAAGGGCUCGUAGGCGGUUCGUCGCGUCCGGUGUGAAAGUCCAUCGCUUAACGGUGGAUCCGCGCCGGGUACGGGCGGGCUUGAGUGCGGUAGGGGAGACUGGAAUUCCCGGUGUAACGGUGGAAUGUGUAG
Molecule: ribosomal RNA, 521 nt
Filed under: Bifidobacterium breve
Lineage: Bacteria; Bacillati; Actinomycetota; Actinomycetes; Bifidobacteriales; Bifidobacteriaceae
Description: bacterial SSU rRNA
Rfam family: Bacterial small subunit ribosomal RNA
Source: RNAcentral